This is a non-coding RNA of Cinara cedri, 223 nucleotides long. The record is from the annotation of a GenBank genome assembly. NCBI's taxonomy places the organism in Eukaryota, Metazoa, Arthropoda, Insecta, Hemiptera, Aphididae.
UUCCGUUCGUUUUUAAACUUACGAUUAUUAUUAUUAAAAAAAAAAAAAAAAAAAAAAAAAACAUUAAAAUAGCCUUUCUUAAAACGCAACACAUACAUAUCAUUAUAUACAUUUUUGACGCUAUGCGUAUAGCCAGUGUAUUUUUUUUAAUGUGAUCAACACGUAGCCUUAUUAUUACUAUUAUUAUUAUAUAAUUAUUACUUAUAUACCUAAUAUUGUGUAU